UUUAUUGGAGAGUUUGAUCCUGGCUCAGGAUGAACGCUGGCGGCGUGCCUAAUACAUGCAAGUCGAGCGAAUGGAUUAAGAGCUUGCUCUUAUGAAGUUAGCGGCGGACGGGUGAGUAACACGUGGGUAACCUGCCCAUAAGACUGGGAUAACUCCGGGAAACCGGGGCUAAUACCGGAUAACAUUUUGAACCGCAUG
RNAcentral lists this ribosomal RNA (198 nucleotides) under Bacillus thuringiensis. Its description in RNAcentral is "partial 16S ribosomal RNA". It matches the Rfam family "Bacterial small subunit ribosomal RNA", at positions 1 to 192 of the family's 1533-position model. Lineage: Bacteria; Bacillati; Bacillota; Bacilli; Caryophanales; Bacillaceae. The record is from RNAcentral.